Molecule: ribosomal RNA, 1856 nt
Filed under: Escherichia coli
Lineage: Bacteria; Pseudomonadati; Pseudomonadota; Gammaproteobacteria; Enterobacterales; Enterobacteriaceae
Description: partial 23S ribosomal RNA
Rfam family: Bacterial large subunit ribosomal RNA
Source: RNAcentral
GUACACAAAAAUGCACAUAUUGUGAGCUCGAUGAGUAGGGCGGGACACGUGGUAUCCUGUCUGAAUAUGGGGGGACCAUCCUCCAAGGCUAAAUACUCCUGACUGACCGAUAGUGAACCAGUACCGUGAGGGAAAGGCGAAAAGAACCCCGGCGAGGGGAGUGAAAAAGAACCUGAAACCGUGUACGUACAAGCAGUGGGAGCCUCUUUAUGGGGUGACUGCGUACCUUUUGUAUAAUGGGUCAGCGACUUAUAUUCUGUAGCAAGGUUAACCGAAUAGGGGAGCCGAAGGGAAACCGAGUCUUAACUGGGCGUUAAGUUGCAGGGUAUAGACCCGAAACCCGGUGAUCUAGCCAUGGGCAGGUUGAAGGUUGGGUAACACUAACUGGAGGACCGAACCGACUAAUGUUGAAAAAUUAGCGGAUGACUUGUGGCUGGGGGUGAAAGGCCAAUCAAACCGGGAGAUAGCUGGUUCUCCCCGAAAGCUAUUUAGGUAGCGCCUCGUGAAUUCAUCUCCGGGGGUAGAGCACUGUUUCGGCAAGGGGGUCAUCCCGACUUACCAACCCGAUGCAAACUGCGAAUACCGGAGAAUGUUAUCACGGGAGACACACGGCGGGUGCUAACGUCCGUCGUGAAGAGGGAAACAACCCAGACCGCCAGCUAAGGUCCCAAAGUCAUGGUUAAGUGGGAAACGAUGUGGGAAGGCCCAGACAGCCAGGAUGUUGGCUUAGAAGCAGCCAUCAUUUAAAGAAAGCGUAAUAGCUCACUGGUCGAGUCGGCCUGCGCGGAAGAUGUAACGGGGCUAAACCAUGCACCGAAGCUGCGGCAGCGACACUAUGUGUUGUUGGGUAGGGGAGCGUUCUGUAAGCCUGUGAAGGUGGCCUGUGAGGGUUGCUGGAGGUAUCAGAAGUGCGAAUGCUGACAUAAGUAACGAUAAAGCGGGUGAAAAGCCCGCUCGCCGGAAGACCAAGGGUUCCUGUCCAACGUUAAUCGGGGCAGGGUGAGUCGACCCCUAAGGCGAGGCCGAAAGGCGUAGUCGAUGGGAAACAGGUUAAUAUUCCUGUACUUGGUGUUACUGCGAAGGGGGGACGGAGAAGGCUAUGUUGGCCGGGCGACGGUUGUCCCGGUUUAAGCGUGUAGGCUGGUUUUCCAGGCAAAUCCGGAAAACCAAGGCUGAGGCGUGAUGACGAGGCACUACGGUGCUGAAGCGACAAAUGCCCUGCUUCCAGGAAAAGCCUCUAAGCAUCAGGUAACAUCAAAUCGUACCCCAAACCGACACAGGUGGUCAGGUAGAGAAUACCAAGGCGCUUGAGAGAACUCGGGUGAAGGAACUAGGCAAAAUGGUGCCGUAACUUCGGGAGAAGGCACGCUGAUAUGUAGGUGAAGCGACUUGCUCGUGGAGCUGAAAUCAGUCGAAGAUACCAGCUGGCUGCAACUGUUUAUUAAAAACACAGCACUGUGCAAACACGAAAGUGGACGUAUACGGUGUGACGCCUGCCCGGUGCCGGAAGGUUAAUUGAUGGGGUUAGCGGUAACGCGAAGCUCUUGAUCGAAGCCCCGGUAAACGGCGGCCGUAACUAUAACGGUCCUAAGGUAGCGAAAUUCCUUGUCGGGUAAGUUCCGACCUGCACGAAUGGCGUAAUGAUGGCCAGGCUGUCUCCACCCGAGACUCAGUGAAAUUGAACUCGCUGUGAAGAUGCAGUGUACCCGCGGCAAGACGGAAAGACCCCGUGAACCUUUACUAUAGCUUGACACUGAACAUUGAGCCUUGAUGUGUAGGAUAGGUGGGAGGCUUUGAAGUGUGGACGCCAGUCUGCAUGGAGCCGACCUUGAAAUACCACCCUUUAAUGUUUGAUG